GACGAACGCUAGCGGCGUGCCUAAUACAUGCAAGUAGAACGCUGAAGAGAGGAGCUUGCUCUUCUUGGAUGAGUUGCGAACGGGUGAGUAACGCGUAGGUAACCUGCCUUGUAGCGGGGGAUAACUAUUGGAAACGAUAGCUAAUACCGCAUAACAAUGGAUGACACAUGUCAUUUAUUUGAAAGGGGCAAUUGCUCCACUACAAGAUGGACCUGCGUUGUAUUAGCUAGUAGGUGAGGUAAUGGCUCACCUAGGCGACGAUACAUAGCCGACCUGAGAGGGUGAUCGGCCACACUGGGACUGAGACACGGCCCAGACUCCUACGGGAGGCAGCAGUAGGGAAUCUUCGGCAAUGGGGGCAACCCUGACCGAGCAACGCCGCGUGAGUGAAGAAGGUUUUCGGAUCGUAAAGCUCUGUUGUAAGUCAAGAGCGGGUGUGAGAGUGGAAAGUUCACACUGUGACGGUAGCUUACCAGAAAGGGACGGCUAACUACGUGCCAGCAGCCGCGGUAAUACGUAGGUCCCGAGCGUUGUCCGGAUUUAUUGGGCGUAAAGCGAGCGCAGGCGGUUUGAUAAGUCUGAAGUUAAAGGCUGUGGCUCAACCAUAGUUCGCUUUGGAAACUGUCAAACUUGAGUGCAGAAGGGGAGAGUGGAAUUCCAUGUGUAGCGGUGAAAUGCGUAGAUAUAUGGAGGAACACCGGUGGCGAAAGCGGCUCUCUGGUCUGUAACUGACGCUGAGGCUCGAAAGCGUGGGGAGCGAACAGGAUUAGAUACCCUGGUAGUCCACGCCGUAAACGAUGAGUGCUAGGUGUUGGAUCCUUUCCGGGAUUCAGUGCCGCAGCUAACGCAUUAAGCACUCCGCCUGGGGAGUACGACCGCAAGGUUGAAACUCAAAGGAAUUGACGGGGGCCCGCACAAGCGGUGGAGCAUGUGGUUUAAUUCGAAGCAACGCGAAGAACCUUACCAGGUCUUGACAUCCCGAUGCUAUUUCUAGAGAUAGAAAGUUACUUCGGUACAUCGGUGACAGGUGGUGCAUGGUUGUCGUCAGCUCGUGUCGUGAGAUGUUGGGUUAAGUCCCGCAACGAGCGCAACCCCUAUUGUUAGUUGCCAUCAUUCAGUUGGGCACUCUAGCGAGACUGCCGGUAAUAAACCGGAGGAAGGUGGGGAUGACGUCAAAUCAUCAUGCCCCUUAUGACCUGGGCUACACACGUGCUACAAUGGUUGGUACAACGAGUUGCGAGUCGGUGACGGCGAGCUAAUCUCUUAAAGCCAAUCUCAGUUCGGAUUGUAGGCUGCAACUCGCCUACAUGAAGUCGGAAUCGCUAGUAAUCGCGGAUCAGCACGCCGCGGUGAAUACGUUCCCGGGCCU
This 1369-nucleotide ribosomal RNA is filed under the name uncultured bacterium. RNAcentral's name for it is "bacterial SSU rRNA". It matches the Rfam family "Bacterial small subunit ribosomal RNA", at positions 28 to 1381 of the family's 1533-position model. The record is from RNAcentral.